Molecule: long non-coding RNA, 836 nt
Organism: Amaranthus tricolor (Joseph's coat)
Lineage: Eukaryota; Viridiplantae; Streptophyta; Magnoliopsida; Caryophyllales; Amaranthaceae
Exons: 3
Source: RefSeq, a predicted model, not a curated record
ACCAUAUACUAAUAUUCAACAGAUACGUAUCCGUGUAUAGGACUCGGUAAAAAGUACAAAAAUAUAUACUCCACAAUAUUUUGGUAUAAUUUAGUUUCUGAAUGGUGGAAGACAAGACAUAUGAUGAUUGUUGCCUGUGAGCCUUGAUUUGCAACUGUAAAGUCGAGCCGGCGUGCCCCUUCACCUCUCUUUGACAUUCAAUUGUGGCACUACUUCGUCACUUGAAAUCUGUAUCGUCUAAAUUUUCUCAACUGGAAACAUCUUUUCGAAAAUCUCACUUCAAAUCCUAAUGGUGCCUUAACUUCUUCGUAUUAAAUACCCACAAUCCAAAUCAUCAUCAUACAUUAAUUGGGUUGUUUUUCUUCUUUGCGAUCAUAAUUUGGGUAAUUUCAGUCUGCUUGAUUUACUGAAGAUAACUUUCACUCUCUCGGCAAGAAAGAAGAGAAAAUUAUUGUUUAGGAGUGUUAAAAAGAAAAUAAAGUUGGUUCAGAUUUUAGAACAUAAUGAAGAGACAUCAUCAACUGGAGGCGCAUAAUAAUGUUAUGAACAGGAGAUAUAAGCAACAAUAUCUUCCAGGAAAGAUGUUUGGUCAAUAUUCUUUUAUAAACAUUACGGUGGGAAGAGAACUGGAUGAUGAUCAUAUAAACAACAAAAGAAAUAUGUUUUGAUUAAUAUUGUGCAACGUCUACACAAAGAAUGGCAAUGCUAUAGAAAAAAGCUUUGUGUGUGUGUGGCAUCUUCUACAGUAGCUCAAGUUCAGGAGAUUGAGAGAAGACUUUGGGAAAGAAAUGAGAAGGUCAGUAACUUAGAGUUGAAGGUGAAACAUAUUGAAGAAA